AUGUGGGAAUCAUAAUGGCCGAAAGUCUAAGGUUUCCUGGGGAAGGUUCGUCCGCCCAGGGUAAGCCGGGAGCUAAGGCGAGGCCGCAAGGCGUAGUCGAUGCACAUACGGUAGAAAUUCCGUAGCCGGCUCAAUCGUUAAGCAUACUGACACAUGAGAGUAGCUCUACCGGGCGUUGGUUGCCCCGGGCGUAAGCGAGCCGAAUGAGGCGAAGUGGGUAAAUCUUGUGGCGAGAAAAGGUGUGUGUAUUGGUUGAGCUGCCCGUACCGCAAACCGACACAGGUAGAUGAGGAGAAGAUCCUAAGGCCAUCGGGAGAAGGGUUGUUAAGGAACUAGGCAAAUUGACCCCGUAACUUCGGGAGAAGGGGUGCCUACGAGAGUAGGCCGCAGAGAAUCGGCCCAAGCAACUGUUUACCAAAAACACAGGUCUCUGCUAAAUCGAAAGAUGACGUAUAGGGGCUGACGCCUGCCCGGUGCUGGAAGGUUAAGAGGAGGACUUAGUGGCAACACGAAGGCCCGAAUUGAAGCCCCAGUAAACGGCGGCCGUAACUAUAACGGUCCUAAGGUAGCGAAAUUCCUUGUCAGGUAAGUUCUGACCCGCACGAAAGGCGUAAUGAUUUGGGCACUGUCUCAACAGCCCGCCCGGCGAAAUUGUAGUACCGGUGAAGAUGCCGGUUACCCGCAACUAGACGGAAAGACCCCAUGGAGCUUUACUGCAGCUUAAUACUGAGAUUCGGUAAAUCAUGUACAGGAUAGGUGGGAGACUGAGAAGCCAGGCCGUCAGGUUUGGUGGAGUCGCCCUUGGGAUACCACCCUUGGUUUGCUGGGUUUCUAACCUGCGGCCCUGAAUCGGGUCGGGGGACACUGUUAGGCGGGCAGUUUGACUGGGGCGGUCGCCUCCUAAAAUGUAACGGAGGCGCUCAAAGGUUGGCUCAGCAUGGAUGGAAACCAUGCAAUGAGUGUAAACGUAUAAGCCAGCCUGACUGCGAGACCGACGGGUCGAGCAGAGACGAAAGUCGGAGUUAGUGAUCCGGUGGUAUGUGAGUGGAAAUGCCAUCGCUCAACGGAUAAAAGCUACCCUGGGGAUAACAGGCUGAUCUCCCCCAAGCGUCCACAGCGACGGGGAGGUUUGGCACCUCGAUGUCGGCUCGUCGCAUCCUGGGGCUGAAUUAGGUCCCAAGGGUUUGGCUGUUCGCCAAUUAAAGCGGCACGCGAGCUGGGUUCAGAACGUCGUGAGACAGUUCGGUCCCUAUCUGUUGCGGGCGUAGGAGAUUUGAAGGGAGCUGACCUUAGUACGAGAGGACCGGGUUGGACGUACCUCUGGUGUACCAGUUGUUCUGCCAAGGGCAUGGCUGGGUAGCUACGUACGGACGAGAUAAACGCUGAAGGCAUCUAAGCGUGAAACUCUCCCUGAGAUAAGAUCUCCACUGAGGCUCGACGUAGACUAUGUCGUUGAUAGGUCAGAGGUGGAAGUGCAGCAAUGCAUGCAGCUGACUGAUACUAAUAAGCCGAAAGCUUGAUC
Molecule: ribosomal RNA, 1522 nt
Filed under: metagenome
Description: bacterial LSU rRNA
Rfam family: Bacterial large subunit ribosomal RNA
Source: RNAcentral